This 480-nucleotide ribosomal RNA is filed under the name uncultured bacterium. RNAcentral describes it as "partial 16S ribosomal RNA". It matches the Rfam family "Bacterial small subunit ribosomal RNA", at positions 28 to 523 of the family's 1533-position model. The record is from RNAcentral.
GACGAACGCUGGCGGCGUGCUUUAUACAUGCAAGUCGAACGAUGAAGUUCCUUCGGGAAUGGAUUAGUGGCGAACGGGUGAGGAACACGUGAGAAACCUGCCUUUCAUUCUGGGAUAACACCGGGAAACCGGUGCUAAUACCGGAUACUCCGUCUUGGCGGCAUCGCCGAGCCGGGAAAAAAUUUUGAUGAAAGAUGGUCUCGCGGCCUAUCAGCUAGUUGGUGAGGUAAAGGCCCACCAAGGCGACGACGGGUAGCCGGACUGGGAGGGCGACCGGCCACACUGGGACUGAGACACGGCCCAGACACCUACGGGAGGCAGCAGUAGGGAAUAUUGGGCAAUGGGCGCAAGCCUGACCCAGCGACGCCGCGUGAGGGAUGAAGGUCUUCGGAUUGUAAACCUCUUUCAGUAGGGAAGAAGCGAAAGUGACGGUACCUAAAGAAGAAGCACCGGCUAACUAUGUGCCAGCCGCCGCAGUAA